GAUUUCUAGAGUCUUUGAAUUUACUCGAAUUAAAGUAGUAAAUGCAACACAAUUUAUUCAUAUUUUCUCUGUUAAUGUCAUUUAAACAAGUUAAAACUAUGUGAUUGAAUAACUUGUUUAAUAUGCUUGUUUCUAUCAUGUAGACUGAAAGUGAUUUAAUUAAAAAAGUAAAUUUGAUGUAAUUAAGUUCCUUCAAAACAGGAAAAGGAAAUGGAUUAAAAAAUUCAAAAUGCUGAGUAACGGUCCAAAGUUCAGUAGAAGAAAUCUCAGUGGAGGGAACAUCGGCUGGCAUGGCGUCUUUUCAGUGGCACUAAUGAAGACCUUCAAAGUGAAAAGAUUGAUUCCCGUGGUGAUUCACAGUGGACCCACUACACUUGAUGUUUAUGUACAGCUGGACGUGGAACGUAAUGAUGCAGAGGCUGGGUGAGAAGACAUUAUUAAAGGAGCGUGUGUUUACAUGGAUGAAGAU
Oryzias melastigma (Indian medaka) is the source of this 469-nucleotide long non-coding RNA. RefSeq lists it as uncharacterized. The transcript has 3 exons. NCBI's taxonomy places the organism in Eukaryota, Metazoa, Chordata, Actinopteri, Beloniformes, Adrianichthyidae. The record is from RefSeq and is a predicted model, not a curated record.